GACGGAGGGUGCUAGCGUUGUUCGGAAUCACUGGGCGUAAAGGGCGCGUAGGCGGCGCCGCAAGUCGGCUGUGAAAGCCCGGGGCCCAACCCCGGAGGUGCAGCCGAGACUGUGGUGCUGGAGGCCGGAAGAGGAGGGUGGAAUACCCAGUGUAGAGGUGAAAUUCGUAGAUAUUGGGUGAAACGCCGGUGGCGAAAGCGGAUCUCUGGUCCGGUCCUGACGCUGAGGCGCGAAAGCGUGGGGAGCAAACAGG
This 253-nucleotide ribosomal RNA is filed under the name uncultured bacterium. RNAcentral describes it as "partial 16S ribosomal RNA". It matches the Rfam family "Bacterial small subunit ribosomal RNA", at positions 524 to 776 of the family's 1533-position model. The record is from RNAcentral.